GACGAACGCUGGCGGCGUGCUUAACACAUGCAAGUCGAACGGAAAGGCCCUGCUUGUGUGGGGUGCGCGAGGGGCGAACGGGUGAGUAACACGUGAGUAACCUGCCCUUGACUUUGGGAUCACUUCAGGAAACUGGGGCUAAUACCGGAUAGGAGCUCCUGCUGCAGGGUGGGGGUUGGAAAGGGCGGGCGGUGGGGGAUGGACGGGCGGCUUUUCAGCUGGUUGGGGGGGUAGUGGCUUACCAAGGGUUUGACGGGUAGCCGGCCUGAGAGGGUGCCCGGCCCCAUUGGGCCUGGGGUCCGGCCCAGCCCCCUCCGGGGGGCAGCGGUGGGGAAUAUUGCCCAUUGGGCGGAACCCUGUUGCAGCACCGCCGCGUGCGGGAUAACGGCCUUCGGUUUGUAACCCGCUUCCGCAUGUGACGAGGCGUGAGUGACGGUAAUGGGUAAAGAAGCACCGGCUAACUACGUG
Molecule: ribosomal RNA, 468 nt
Filed under: uncultured bacterium
Lineage: Bacteria
Description: partial 16S ribosomal RNA
Rfam family: Bacterial small subunit ribosomal RNA
Source: RNAcentral